GGGGAUUUAGCUCAGAGGUAGAGCGCUUGCCUAGCAAGCGCAAGGCCCUGGGUUCAGUCCCCA
Molecule: non-coding RNA, 63 nt
Organism: Rattus norvegicus (Norway rat)
Lineage: Eukaryota; Metazoa; Chordata; Mammalia; Rodentia; Muridae
Source: Rfam